This 2614-nucleotide long non-coding RNA is filed under the name Mus musculus (house mouse). Its description in RNAcentral is "long non-coding RNA chr18:64453903-64456517". The record is from RNAcentral. Lineage: Eukaryota; Metazoa; Chordata; Mammalia; Rodentia; Muridae.
CAUGUGUCCUUCUUACCGGUUGGAAUAUCUUCUGGAUAUAUGCCCAGGAGAGGUAUUGCAGGAUCCUCCAGUAGUACUAUGUCCAAUUUUCUGAGGAACCGCCAGACUAAUUUCCAGAGUGGUUGUACAAGCUUGCAAUCUCGCCAACAAUGGAGGAGUGUUCCUCUUUUCCCACAUCCUCGCCAGCAUCUGCUGUCACCUGAAUUGUAAUUCCAGUUCUUCACAAACCAUUCCACAAAAUAGAAGCAGAAGGUACUCUACCCAAUUCAUUCUAUGAAGCCACAGUUACUCUGAUACCUAAACCACAGAAAGACCCAACAAAGAUAGAGAACUUCAGACCAAUUUCCCUUAUGAAUAUCGAUGCAAAAAUACUCAAUAAAAUUCUCGCUAACUGAAUCCAAGAACACAUCAAAACAAUCAUCCAUCCUGACCAAGUAGGUUUCAUUCCAGGGAUGCAGGGAUGGUUCAAUAUACGGAAAUCCAUCAACAUAAUCCAUUAUAUAAACAAACUCAAAGACAAAAACCACAUGAUCAUCUCGUUAGAUGCUGAGAAAGUAUUUGACAAAAUCCAACACCCAUUCAUGAUAAAAGUCUUGGAUAGAUCAGGAAUUCAAGGCCCAUACCUAAACAUGAUAAAAGCAAUCUAGAGCAAACCAGUAGCCAACAUCAAAGUAAAUGCUAAGAACUCUGUCUUCUUAAUGAGUUUCUUCUUCCCACAAGACUGGGACGCACCAGUCUGUGCUGUGUUCAGGAUUGGGACAGACCUGGCAGUGAGGCCAGAGACUACUGCAUGCUUGUCUUAGUCUCGCUUCUGUUGUUGUGACAAAAUACCCUGGCAAAAGGAAACUGUGGGGAGAAAGGGUUUAUUUGGCUUUUAAUUCCCGGUCCUAGGACAUUACUGAGCGGACACCAAAGCAGGAAUCGCAGAUGUGGUGGAGAGCAAGAGAGACCAUACCCUUGCUUGCUGUUUUUUUUUUUUAAUGGCUACCAGCUCAUCUUUGACCCUCCAGCUGAAGCAGCACAAAUGGUCACUCCCUAGAACAAGGGAGCAGACAGUACAGCCUACACCUGUAGGUACUACAGCCAUCUUCACCUCUAGCAGGCUGUGGGUCUUUCUGGUGACCCUGCUGGGCGUUUGGGACAGUAUGCUCCCUUGCCUCAUGGUGUGAUAACAGUUUAGAUAAAUCUACUCACACUAAGCAAAUGUGUGCCUUCAACUGUGGCUUCUUGAAUUAAACGCCCAAAGUAUGAAUACAGAGUCAAGAAGGAAGCCAGGUGCAGCGACUUUAUUCUAGAGGAUCUAUUCUACCGCUUCAAGAGGAAGAGAGGGAAAUCUAUUUUCAAGAUCAUCUGAAAAUGUAAAAGCCCUAAUAUUACCUUAGGGCUGUUGACAGGCUUAGUCUGGGCACGCUGAGAUGGAAAAAUCCACUUCUUCAUAGAUGAUAGUUGCAAACUAAUUCUAGACAUGAUGAAACUAGUAAGACUCGCUCAGUGCUGCUGAGUUGAGGAAGCCGACGCACCUUGAGGAAGCAUCAGAUGUGAAAGCAUGGGUUUCUACUGUCAACACUAACUCACUGCUGACGACAUGGCGUGAGGCAGAUGUCCUUCACGCAGGUCUGCGGGAGAGCCCCUUCCCCUGGGCUGUCAUCCUCCGGGCUCUCGCAACGACAGCAGUGGGGUGAACAUUCCCAGCACCCGCAGAUCUUCUGGAUCAGUUAAAAAAAAUGCAGGUCUGUACACAGAGCAGCUCGAGACAGCACUGGCAGUUCACUGCUAAUUACAAUGACAAACAUUUGUACUUCACAGCUGACAGACAGGAUAACAACUCUCAAAGACUCAUCAAUGCUAAAAGAUCCCCGUCCUUCUGAACACUACCCUGGUAUGUCACCCUCACCUAUCUGUGGUUGGCAGUCAAAGGAAUCGCAUCUUUAGGAGUUGAAGAUGCCACAGGCAGUGCUUCCCGUAAGUGCCUCUCAGAGGCCAGUCUGCUCCCACUUCAGUGCCGGCAACAGUUCCAGACAACUCAUUCAGGGUUUGCUUGGCAAACGGGGGGCUUCAUAGACUCCAGCGGGGACUCGUGAGCUGGCACUUCCCGCAAUAUCCCCAUGCCAAUGUUUUCAUCUGAAAAGCUGCUCAAGAGCCAAGACUGAUGACAAGCAAGUUCCCUGAAAGGGGACUGGGGGAAGGGAUAAUGGCUGUGUGCAUAGCUGUCUGCCAACAGGAGCCACUAGCCCUGAGAUGUCCAUUCACUGUGGGACAGUCCCUCACAGGCCACUCUGACGCUCAUCCCCAGAGGUGAUGAAAUGGAUACAGGGACAUUCCAAAGUGCCCAGACCCUUGUUCUUUCUGUACAGACUGCUUACUUAGGAAGAUAGAGCCAAUUCAGACACAGAAAAUAGAUGCUGUUCAAAUUAGAAAGCCGCUAUCAGCAUAAGAAACUCUUACCUGGAGCAGAAAGCAGGCUUCGCUGCUGGAUUACAAAGUGAAUUUCCUGUGUUCAGGAGACAGUACAAAUCAAACGGCUAAAGCUCACCGUCUAUUAACAGUAAAUCCUGAGUAUAGAAUAUCUAUGCAUCCUACUAAUUGCUUUCAUUUCAUGAGCCGUUUUUCUAUC